RNAcentral lists this ribosomal RNA (401 nucleotides) under uncultured bacterium. RNAcentral's name for it is "bacterial SSU rRNA". It matches the Rfam family "Bacterial small subunit ribosomal RNA", at positions 29 to 454 of the family's 1533-position model. The record is from RNAcentral.
AACGAACGCUGGCGGCAUGCCUAACACAUGCAAGUCGAACGAAGUCUUCGGACUUAGUGGCGCACGGGUGCGUAACGCGUGGGAAUCUGCCCUUGGGUGCGGAAUAACUUCUCGAAAGGGAUGCUAAUACCGCAUAAUGUCGUAAGACCAAAGAUUUAUCGCCCAAGGAUGAGCCCGCGUAAGAUUAGCUAGUUGGUGGGGUAAAAGCCUACCAAGGCGACGAUCUUUAGCUGGUCUGAGAGGAUGAUCAGCCACACUGGGACUGAGACACGGCCCAGACUCCUACGGGAGGCAGCAGUGGGGGAAUAUUGGACAAUGGGCGAAAGCCUGAUCCAGCAAUGCCGCGUGAGUGAUGAAGGCCCUAGGGUUGGUAAAGACUCUUUUACCCGUAGAUGAUAAUA